GUAGGUGGCAAGCGUUGUCUGGAAUUAUUGGGCGUAAAGCGCGCGCAGGCGGUCCUUUAAGUCUGAUGUGAAAGCCCACGGCUCAACCGUGGAGGGUCAUUGGAAACUGGGGGACUUGAGUACAGAAGAGGAAAGCGGAAUUCCAAGUGUAGCGGUGAAAUGCGUAGAGAUUUGGAGGAACACCAGUGGCGAAGGCGGCUUUCUGGUCUGUAACUGACGCUGAGGCGCGAAAGCGUGGGGAGCAAACAGGGAUUAGAUACCCUGGUAGUCCACGCCGUAAACGAUGAGUGCUAAGUGUUAGGGGGUUUCCCGCCCCUUAGUGCUGCAGCUAACGCAUUAAGCACUCCGCCUGGGGAUACGGCCGCAAGGCUG
Molecule: ribosomal RNA, 372 nt
Filed under: uncultured organism
Description: partial 16S ribosomal RNA
Rfam family: Bacterial small subunit ribosomal RNA
Source: RNAcentral